RNAcentral lists this non-coding RNA (105 nucleotides) under chicken gut metagenome. Its description in RNAcentral is "SAM riboswitch (S box leader)". It matches the Rfam family "SAM riboswitch aptamer (S box leader)". From Rfam's summary of the family: The SAM riboswitch is found upstream of a number of genes which code for proteins involved in methionine or cysteine biosynthesis in Gram-positive bacteria. The SAM riboswitch acts at the level of transcription termination control. The record is from RNAcentral.
CUUAUCAAGAGUGGUGGAGGGACAGGCCCUGUGAAGCCCGGCAACCUGGCAGUGCGUCGCUGUUGUACUGCAAAGGUGCCAAAUCCUGCGGUUAUCCGAAAGAUG